Molecule: transfer RNA, 72 nt
Filed under: Rhyticeros undulatus (Wreathed hornbill)
Lineage: Eukaryota; Metazoa; Chordata; Aves; Bucerotiformes; Bucerotidae
Description: tRNA-Phe
Source: RNAcentral
GUCCCCGUAGCUUACACCAAAGCAUGGCACUGAAGAUGCCAAGAUGGCUGCUCAACAUGCAUCCCAGGGACA